UGCGCAGGCGGAAUAUUAAGUCAGUGGUGAAAGCCUACAGCUCAACUGUAGAACUGCCAUUGAUACUGAUCUUCUUGAGUAUAGUUGUAGUGGGCGGAAUAUAUCAUGUAGCGGUGAAAUGCUUAGAUAUGAUAUAGAACACCGAUCGCGAAGGCAGCUCACUAAACUAUAACUGACGCUCAUGUACGAAAGCGUGGGUAGCAAACAGGAUUAGAUACCCUGGUAGUCC
RNAcentral lists this ribosomal RNA (229 nucleotides) under uncultured bacterium. RNAcentral describes it as "partial 16S ribosomal RNA". It matches the Rfam family "Bacterial small subunit ribosomal RNA", at positions 568 to 796 of the family's 1533-position model. The record is from RNAcentral.